This 424-nucleotide ribosomal RNA is filed under the name uncultured beta proteobacterium. Its description in RNAcentral is "bacterial SSU rRNA". It matches the Rfam family "Bacterial small subunit ribosomal RNA", at positions 207 to 622 of the family's 1533-position model. The record is from RNAcentral. Lineage: Bacteria; Pseudomonadati; Pseudomonadota; Betaproteobacteria.
CAAGNCCUUGCGCUUUUGGAGCGGCCGAUGUCUGAUUAGCUAGUUGGUGAGGUAAAGGCUUACCAAGGCUUCGAUCAGUAGCUGGUCUGAGAGGACGACCAGCCNCACUGGGACUGAGACACGGCCCAGACUCCUACGGGAGGCACCAGUGGGGAAUUUUGGCCAAUGGGGGAAACCCUGAUCCAGCCAUGCCGCGUGAGUGAAGAAGCCCUUCGGGUUGUAAAGCUCUUUCAGCCGGAACGAAAAGGUUACGGUUAAUACCCGUGACUAAUGACGGUACCGGAAGAAGAAGCACCGGCUAACUACGUGCCAGCAGCCGCGGUAAUACGUAGGGUGCGAGCGUUAAUCGGAAUUACUGGGCGUAAAGCGUGCCCAGGCGGUUUUGUAAGUCAGAUGUGAAAUCCCCGGGCUCAACCUGGGAACU